AGAGUUUGAUCCUGGCUCAGGAUGAACGCUGGCGGCGUGCUUAGCACAUGCAAGUCGAACGAAGCACCUUGAUUUGAUUCUUCGGAUGAAGAUCUUGGUGACUGAGUGGCGGACGGGUGAGUAACGCGUGGGUAACCUGCCUCAUACAGGGGGAUAACAGUUAGAAAUGACUGCUAAUACCGCAUAAGACCACAGCACCGCAUGGUGCAGGGGUAAAAACUCCGGUGGUAUGAGAUGGACCCGCGUCUGAUAAGGUAGUUGGUGGGGUAACGGCCUACCAAGCCGACGAUCAGUAGCCGACCUGCGAGGGUGACCGGCCACAUUGGGACUGAGACACGGCCCAAACUCCUACGGGAGGCAGCAGUGGGGAAUAUUGCACAAUGGGGGAAACCCUGAUGCAGCGACGCCGCGUGAGCGAUGAAGUAUAUCGGUAUGUAAAGCUCUAUCAGCAGGGAAGAAAAUGACGGUACCUGACUAAGAAGCACCGGCUAAAUACGUGCCAGCAGCCGCGGUAAUACGUAUGGUGCAAGCGUUAUCCGGAUUUACUGGGUGUAAAGGGAGCGUAGACGGAGUGGCAAGUCUGAUGUGAAAACCCGGGGCUCAACCCCGGGACUGCAUUGGAAACUGUCAAUCUAGAGUACCGGAGAGGUAAGCGGAAUUCCUAGUGUAGCGGUGAAAUGCGUAGAUAUUAGGAGGAACACCAGUGGCGAAGGCGGCUUACUGGACGGUAACUGACGUUGAGGCUCGAAAGCGUGGGGAGCAAACAGGAUUAGAUACCCUGGUAGUCCACGCCGUAAACGAUGAUUACUAGGUGUCGGGCAGCAAAGCUGUUCGGUGCCGCAGCAAACGCAAUAAGUAGUCCACCUGGGGAGUACGUUCGCAAGAAUGAAACUCAAAGGAAUUGACGGGGACCCGCACAAGCGGUGGAGCAUGUGGUUUAAUUCGAAGCAACGCGAAGAACCUUACCUGCUCUUGACAUCUCCCUGACCGGCAAGUAAUGUUGCCUUUCCUUCGGGACAGGGAUGACAGGUGGUGCAUGGUUGUCGUCAGCUCGUGUCGUGAGAUGUUGGGUUAGGUCCCGCAACGAGCGCAACCCCUAUCUUUAGUAGCAGCGGUUCGGCCGGGCACUCUAGAGAGACUGCCAGGGAUAACCUGGAGGAAGGUGGGGAUGACGUCAAAUCAUCAUGCCCCUUAUGAGCAGGGCUACACACGUGCUACAAUGGCGUAAACAAAGGGAGGCAGAACCGCGAGGUCGAGCAAAUCCCAAAAAUAACGUCUCAGUUCGGAUUGUAGUCUGCAACUCGACUACAUGAAGCUGGAAUCGCUAGUAAUCGCGAAUCAGAAUGUCGCGGUGAAUACGUUCCCGGGUCUUGUACACACCGCCCGUCACACCAUGGGAGUCAGUAACGCCCGAAGUCAGUGACCCAACCGUAAGGAGGGAGCUGCCGAAGGUGGGACCGAUAACUGGGGUGAAGUCGUAACAAGGUA
Molecule: ribosomal RNA, 1488 nt
Filed under: metagenome
Description: bacterial SSU rRNA
Rfam family: Bacterial small subunit ribosomal RNA
Source: RNAcentral